Molecule: ribosomal RNA, 433 nt
Filed under: uncultured bacterium
Lineage: Bacteria
Description: partial 16S ribosomal RNA
Rfam family: Bacterial small subunit ribosomal RNA
Source: RNAcentral
AACGAACGCUGGCGGCAUGCCUAACACAUGCAAGUCGAACGAGACCUUCGGGUCUAGUGGCGCACGGGUGCGUACCGCGUGGGAAGCUGCCCUUAGGUUCGGAAUCACUCCCCGAAAGGGGUGCUAAUACCGGAUAAUGUCUUCGGACCAAAGAUUUAUCGCCUUUGGAUGGGCCCGCGUUGGAUUAGCUAGUUGGUAGGGUAAAAGCCUCCCAAGGCGAGGAUCCAUAGCUGGUCUGAGAGGAUGAUCAGCUACACUGGGAAUGCGGCACGGCCCAGACUCCUACGGGAGGCAGCAGAGGAGAAUAUUGGACAAGGGGCGAAAGCCUGAUCCAGCAAUGCCGCGUGAGUGAUGAAGGCCUUAGGGUUGUAAAGCUCUUUGACCCGGGAUGAUAAUGACAGUACCGGGUGAAGAAGCACCGGCUAACUCCGUG